UUGUCUUCAGGGCAGGGAGCGUUUCCCGACCGGCGGUAAAGUCCGCGAGCUUCAGCAUGAACCGGUGAAAUUCCGGUACCGACAGUAGAGUCUGGAUGAGAGAAGAU
Molecule: non-coding RNA, 107 nt
Filed under: bovine gut metagenome
Description: FMN riboswitch (RFN element)
Rfam family: FMN riboswitch aptamer (RFN element)
About the family: The RFN element is a highly conserved domain that is found frequently in the 5'-untranslated regions of prokaryotic mRNAs that encode for flavin mononucleotide (FMN) biosynthesis and transport proteins. This element is a metabolite-dependent riboswitch that directly binds FMN in the absence of proteins.
Source: RNAcentral